RNAcentral lists this ribosomal RNA (1542 nucleotides) under Triticum aestivum (bread wheat). RNAcentral's name for it is "partial small subunit ribosomal RNA". The record is from RNAcentral. Lineage: Eukaryota; Viridiplantae; Streptophyta; Magnoliopsida; Poales; Poaceae.
AUGCCCCCCCUCACUGGGCCCAUCAGCGAAAGCAACUGCUACUUAAUCGUAGGUUUGCUUUCGUGCAAGGCCCCCGCUGCUGGAACAGGCGGUUGUCAUUUUCAACUUCAACUAGGCUCCACCUUAGAGAGGGUUUUCGGUUUGAAUCAAGAUAGGGUCAGGGGCGCGUCGGAACGGCUCCUUCCCUUCCACUGCAUAGCUGCGCUAUCAGGUACUACGAGCCCUCUGCCCCACGCAUCUAACCAGCUCGCGUGGUUCACCGGUUCCACCGAAAACUCUCAUUUGUUGAAGCGGAGCAUAGUGUGGCGUCGAGCGAGAAAGGCGUUCGCAGAAUCAGUCUAUCCGAACCGCAGACGCACUUUUCAGAUUAGUGACGGCCUCUCCAGCAGAGCUGGGCGCCGGGGCCCUGGAUGCGCUAGCGAUCGGCACAUUAGGGGAGUACUUGCCCGGGUUACUCGGCCUGGUAUCCUUAUCCUCGCGUUCAUGAUAUCUACAUUCAACUGUGCCCCGGAGACACGGUCGAAGCACGCCCGCCCCGUGUGCGUCUUUCACGACAUGCUCUGGUCUCGGGUUUCUUCCUGUGGUAUUCUAGCGUUAGAAGAAGUCGUGUCCGUCCCGGACAUCUGCAACGUCCUCUCACGCCUUUUUUGGGGGGACAAACAAAGAUCAGGAAAAGACGGACCGAACCCAUUCGUUUCCUUGUCGACGCGAAGGGGCCAGCAGCCCCCAAACCAAAGUCUGAGAUCAAAACUCAUACCGCGGUUGUGGCUUGAAGGCCGCAUGGAAGUUCUGAAAUAUUUAGAGAAAAAAGCCUCUGCCUCUGGGGAAGUGCUCACAUCAACUCCAAUUUGGAUGGAGCUUCUCGAUGGGUUAGAGCGUUUGCGAACCAAAAAGGGGAAAAACCCAUCCUCCAAAGUAGUGAAGCUCUUCUCCGUCUAUAACUCAAAGUCCAUCUGUCUCUCGUGGAAGCGCUUUAGAGUGCCUAGAAGAUCCAGCAAACGGGGGUGCCAAUGCUGUCCCAAGACCAGAUCACGGAUCUCCUUCCCUAUGAGACUCUUGCUUCCCUUUGAAAGAGGCAGACCCCUACUUCAAUUGUCAUCUGACGCCUCUACCCCAGCUGUGGACUCAGACCUCUCACAACCAAAAAAAAGAAAAUCAAAAUCAAACGAAUCCGAAUAUAACCAAUCUAUCGCCUUUGAUGACUCGUUGACAGCCUCCUCAACCCAAGCUUCCAUCUCCUGCUCCAGACAUCGGCGCUUGCCCGCGCCAGUCCAUGAAAGGUGGAUGAAGAGAGGCAAAAGAGAAGUCCAGAGAGACCUCGACUCUUUCAGGGAAAGGAGGGAGAUCGAAUGCGAGAUGGAGUCCCUGCCGAAUGGAAUGGACAUCCUUGGGGACAGCUGUAGAAAAGACUCGUUGCUGGAACCGAGAGCACUGGCGAUUGCUUUCUUUCUGACCUUCAGCCGAGAAAUUCCAUACCUUCCACCGACUUCUUUUGUGUGUGGCCAGAACGUGAUGCUUUCCAAUGCCGAGUACUUUUCUUAA